RNAcentral lists this unclassified non-coding RNA (1657 nucleotides) under Hevea brasiliensis (rubber tree). Lineage: Eukaryota; Viridiplantae; Streptophyta; Magnoliopsida; Malpighiales; Euphorbiaceae. The record is from RNAcentral.
AUAGUAGCCAGAGAGUAGUGGUGAUGAUAGUGUUCAGUAAACAUGGCCUUAUAAACACACUUCUAACUAUCGAUUUAAAUACCCAACAAAUAUCAUAGCAUAAUACAUUGUAGCUCAUCCAUGUUACCACCUUGGUACCAACACAUUUUACAUCUACAAAGGUGAUUUCAAAAUUUACUAGUGCAAAAUCUAAUAUAUCGCAGAAAUUAGAAACAUUGCAGUACAAAAUGUGUCAGCUAAGAUCUUGCCAUACAAGCGUACAAAAGGUUCUUUCCACGAAACCUUGUUAUUUCAGGCAUAUCUACCUCUCCCACAUCCUAAGAGGAAGCUCUAGACAUUUUUGUGCGAGAUUUCUGGCUCUCCAAUCUUGCUUCAAGGAGUUUUGCCUUCAAAGUAUUUUCCUCUAUGCCUCUUGGUAAUUGCAAAGAAGACUCAGAUUUACCAAAUUCAGGAGAUGCCAAUUUUGACAUCCACUGUUGCACUGGACUUGCAUGUCCUACAAAUACCUCCUCAACACAAGAAUCUUCUUUCAAAUCACCUUCAGGAUGAAUUUUAUCACCUUCAGAUGACAUUGAAUGAUUUCGAAUUAAGUUAUCCAUCACAUCAUUUGAGUUCAAUAGCGCAUGCAAAACACGGCCCUUACUAUUUUCCCUUGAACUGGCCAUUCUCUUCAUGGGAUCCAAAAUCAUUAUUUCCUCAAAACGGCUUUCUGAAGAGUUAUUACCUCGUCUUUUGGAACUGCCUGUGUUUCGUUUUUUACCUAUACUCUUGUUUAGCUCAAUACAAUGAGAAUUGCUCUCAAUAGAACCUUCUUCAUUGGCAGUACCUCGAGGUGCACUUACAGCCUCAUUUAGUGGAAAGGACUCCCGCCGUGCGCAAUUUUUUAUUGCCUCGUUAACAAAAUUACCAUCUUUCUUCAAUUCAUUGGAGUGUCGAGCUUCGAGAAAGGUUUCUAUAUCUAGACUUAACUUGUCAACAAUUGUAUUCUUUUCUGUAAGAUCAUUUUGAGCUUCUGCCAGUUUCAUUUGCACCCGCUCAUCAAGCCAUGCUUCUGAGAUAUGGAGAACCAAGCGGUCAAUAGUAGCAUGAUCCAUCUCAGGUUUGUGCCUUAGGGACCGCACCUCUUGUUCAUAAUCUCUUAUUCCCUUGGCAAACUCAUCACAUAAGUUUUCCAAUAAAAUCCGUGCUUUCCUCUCACUCUCAAGUUCUUUUAAAGCAUUAGAGAAAGCUGAUUUCACUUCAUAAAACUCUCGAGCUAGCUUCCGAUGCAAGCUUUCUGAGUGCUUUCUUAACUUCCUCUCAACUUCUAGCUCUUCUCGUGCUGACUGAAUGACAGCUUUGAUUCGAUCAUGCUCUUUAUUCUUCCUAACAACUUUAUCCUGUGCAACUUGCUUCAUUAAGCCAUCUAUUUCUCGCCCGUUAGUUUGUUUCUCUUUUAGCAACUCCUUUAUUUGUGAUCGAGAACAAUCUAGUUCCAUUUUUAAAGAUUUUAACAGCGACAAAUUGCAUGCUUGCUGUUCUUCAAGACUCCAAAUCCGGUUGAUUACCGUGAGUAAUUUUGUUGAUGUCUUAAGGCCAUAACUUGACUCAUCCAUCCUGCACUUAAAAUCCAAGAAACUGGAAGACUGCAUACCCAAAGGUUUAUAAGGCGCUACCU